CGGGGAGGUAGUGACGAAAAAUAACGAUACGGGACUCAUCCGAGGCCCCGUAAUCGGAAUGAGUACACUUUAAAUCCUUUAACGAGGACCAAUUGGAGGGCAAGUCUGGUGCCAGCAGCCGCGGUAAUUCCAGCUCCAAUAGCGUAUAUUAAAGUUGUUGCGGUUAAAAAGCUCGUAGUUGAAUCUGUGUGUCACAGUGUCGGUUCACCGCUCGCGAUGUUUAACUGGCAUUAUGUGGUACGUCCUACCGGUGGGCUUAGCUCCUCACGGGGCGGUCCAACUAAUAUCCCAUCGCGGUGCUCUUCACUGAGUGUCGAGGUGGGCCGGUACGUUUACUUUGAACAAAUUAGAGUGCUCAAAGCAGGCUACCUUCGCCUGAAUACUCUGUGCAUGGAAUAAUGGAAUAGGACCUCGGUUCUAUUUUGUUGGUUUUCGGAACCCCGAGGUAAUGAUUAAUAGGGACAGAUGGGGGCAUUCGUAUUGCGACGUUAGAGGUGAAAUUCUUGGAUCGUCGCAAGACGGACAGAAGCGAAAGCAUUUGCCAAAAAUGUUUUCAUUAAUCAAGAACGAAAGUUAGAGGUUCGAAGGCGAUCAGAUACCGCCCUAGUUCUAACCAUAAACGAUGCCAGCUAGCGAUCCGCCGAAGUUCCUCCGAUGACUCGGCGGGCAGCUUCCGGGAAACCAAAGCUUUUGGGUUCCGGGGGAAGUAUGGUUGCAAAGCUGAAACUUAAAGGAAUUGACGGAAGGGCACCACCAGGAGUGGAGCCUGCGGCUUAAUUUGACUC
RNAcentral lists this ribosomal RNA (785 nucleotides) under Ammobates sp. JS-2010. Its description in RNAcentral is "SSU rRNA". It matches the Rfam family "Eukaryotic small subunit ribosomal RNA", at positions 457 to 1201 of the family's 1831-position model. The record is from RNAcentral. Lineage: Eukaryota; Metazoa; Arthropoda; Insecta; Hymenoptera; Apidae.